UUUUUGUAUGGAAAAACGUGCCAACUAAAAAGCACAUACUCAAUAGUUGGCAUGGAAUCGAAGUUCAACUAAUGAGUUCAGAUUGUUCUGUUAAUUUGUUGUUUUGAUCAAAUAGCCAUUGCCCAAGAGAAAGUUAAUAAUAAUUUUCUUUACCUGUGUACCUGGCCUGCAUAAUUGUGUUGCUAAAAAUCAAAGUAUUACCCUGGUUUAAACAAGGAUUCAAUGGUCCUUUCAUAGGAUUCAUUGUUAAGGAAAGUCCAUCUAACAGAGCAAGUAUUUGAGCAUUUCGAGCAUCCUGUCUAAUAAGCAGCUUUCGGCAAAGCGGACAGCAGCAAGACGGGUGGCUUUCUUCUUGCGGCUGUGUUGCAGCAGAAGCAUCAUCGCUGGAAACUUCCAUCAUUGAUACAGCUGAUGUUGGCUUGAGAACAUCUGCGCUGACAAUCCUUGCUUGCGAGCGUGUCGCAGCAGAAAAACCACCUCCGGAUGCUGCAAUGACAGUUGCAGACGACGAUAACCGUUGUCCUGCGGAGCAUUUAGCCAUUCCUGGCGGUUUUGCUGCAGCAGCGACAACACCUCCAGAUGCUGUCACCACCGCUGAAGACGACGUCAACUGUUGCAAUCCAGCAUCAACAACAUUUCCUGGCGGGCGUUCCGUAGCAACAACAACGCCACUGGAAGUUGCUUUUGGUGAUGUAGACGGCAACAGUUGUCCUCCGGCGGCAGCGGCAACACUCUCGGCUGUCUCCACCGUUGCAGCCGACGGAAGCCGUUGUCCUUCAGCAUGAACAGCAGCGACAUCACCACUGGAUGCUGUACCCACCGUUGCAGUCGACGGCAACCGUUGUCCUCUGGCGUGUACAACACUUCCUGGCGGACGUGCAGUAACAGGAACAACACCGCUGGAAGUUGCGUUUGUUGAUUCAGACGGCAACCGUUGACCUCCGGAGGCAGCGACAACACUCCUAGAUGCUGUCACCACCGUUGCAGCCGACGGCAGCCGUUGUCCUCCAACAUGAACAGCAGCGACAACACCACUGGAUGCUGUCCCCACCGUUGCAGCCGACGGCAACCGUUGUGCUCCGGCAUGCACAACACAUCCUGGCGGGAGUGACACAACAACACUAUCCGGACUAGAGGAUGCCAUCACCAAUAAAGAUGAUGGAAUUUGCUGUCCACCGGGGCAAACAACUGUACCAGCUGGCAUCAUCGUCGAAGAUGUAUUUGGCUGCUGCAUUGCAACACAAGUAACGUUUCUUGACAAACGUGCAAGUGCAGCAGCAACAUCAUCGGAAACGUUCAACGCCGACGACGGAACAGAUGAUAUUGGUGGCUGUUCAUUGGGGGCAGUAUGAAACGUAACUGCAGAAACAUUACCGCCGGAAGAUGUCAACGUGUAUGAUGCAGCAGAAGAUGUUGUUAGCUGAUUCUCCACGGUACUAACUACUGGAAGCACUUGUACACACGUAGGAUUUCGCACAACUUCUUCACUGCAAAACAUACCAACAUCAUCUGGAUCUUCCGGACGCGCUUGCUUUGUCGGUAUAGACAUGAUGUUGCUAGAGCAAAAUAGAGAUUUCGAUAAAGCGACGUAGAGAAAACUGUGAAUAAAAGCGACGUAGAGAAAACUGUGAAUAAAACGCUGAAAAAAUUGCUUGUUGUUCACGAC
Molecule: long non-coding RNA, 1666 nt
Organism: Anopheles arabiensis
Lineage: Eukaryota; Metazoa; Arthropoda; Insecta; Diptera; Culicidae
Exons: 3
Source: RefSeq, a predicted model, not a curated record